UACGUAGGGGGCAAGCGUUGUCCGGAUUUAUUGGGCGUAAAGAGCGUGUAGGCGGCCAGACAGGUCCGUUGUGAAAACUCGAGGCUCAACCUCGAGAUGUCGAUGGAAACCGUCUGGCUAGAGUCCGGAAGAGGAGUGUGGAAUUCCUGGUGUAGCGGUGAAGUGCGCAGAUAUCAGGAAGAACACCUAUGGCGAAGGCAGCACUCUGGGACGGUACUGACGCUGAGACGCGAAAGCGUGGGGAGCGAACAGG
Molecule: ribosomal RNA, 253 nt
Filed under: uncultured bacterium
Lineage: Bacteria
Description: partial 16S ribosomal RNA
Rfam family: Bacterial small subunit ribosomal RNA
Source: RNAcentral